This 454-nucleotide ribosomal RNA is filed under the name uncultured bacterium. RNAcentral's name for it is "bacterial SSU rRNA". It matches the Rfam family "Bacterial small subunit ribosomal RNA", at positions 1 to 507 of the family's 1533-position model. The record is from RNAcentral.
ACGUAGUUUGAUCCGUGCUCAGAACGACGCUGGCGGCAUGCCUAACACAUGCAAGUCGAACGAGACCUUCGGGUCUAGUGGCGCACGGGUGCGUAACGCGUGGGAAUCUGCCCUUUGCUUCGGAAUAACAGUUAGAAAUGACUGCUAAUACCGGAUGAUGUCUUCGGACCAAAGAUUUAUCGGCAAAGGAUGAGCCCGCGUAGGAUUAGGUAGUUGGUGGGGUAAAGGCCUACCAAGCCGACGAUCCUUAGCUGGUCUGAGAGGAUGAUCAGCCACACUGGGACUGAGACACGGCCCAGACUCCUACGGGAGGCAGCAGUGGGGAAUAUUGGACAAUGGGCGAAAGCCUGAUCCAGCAAUGCCGCGUGAGUGAUGAAGGCCUUCGGGUUGUAAAGCUCUUUUACCCGGGAUGAUAAUGACAGUACCGGGAGAAUAAGCUCCGGCUAACUCCGUG